This 692-nucleotide ribosomal RNA is filed under the name Streptomyces sp. K57T. RNAcentral describes it as "bacterial SSU rRNA". It matches the Rfam family "Bacterial small subunit ribosomal RNA", at positions 72 to 780 of the family's 1533-position model. Lineage: Bacteria; Bacillati; Actinomycetota; Actinomycetes; Kitasatosporales; Streptomycetaceae. The record is from RNAcentral.
AACCACUUCGGUGGGGAUUAGUGGCGAACGGGUGAGUAACACGUGGGCAAUCUGCCCUGCACUCUGGGACAAGCCCUGGAAACGGGGUCUAAUACCGGAUACUGACCCGCUUGGGCAUCCAAGCGGUUCGAAAGCUCCGGCGGUGCAGGAUGAGCCCGCGGCCUAUCAGCUUGUUGGUGAGGUAAUGGCUCACCAAGGCGACGACGGGUAGCCGGCCUGAGAGGGCGACCGGCCACACUGGGACUGAGACACGGCCCAGACUCCUACGGGAGGCAGCAGUGGGGAAUAUUGCACAAUGGGCGAAAGCCUGAUGCAGCGACGCCGCGUGAGGGAUGACGGCCUUCGGGUUGUAAACCUCUUUCAGCAGGGAAGAAGCGAAAGUGACGGUACCUGCAGAAGAAGCGCCGGCUAACUACGUGCCAGCAGCCGCGGUAAUACGUAGGGCGCGAGCGUUGUCCGGAAUUAUUGGGCGUAAAGAGCUCGUAGGCGGCUUGUCACGUCGGUUGUGAAAGCCCGGGGCUUAACCCCGGGUCUGCAGUCGAUACGGGCAGGCUAGAGUUCGGUAGGGGAGAUCGGAAUUCCUGGUGUAGCGGUGAAAUGCGCAGAUAUCAGGAGGAACACCGGUGGCGAAGGCGGAUCUCUGGGCCGAUACUGACGCUGAGGAGCGAAAGCGUGGGGAGCGAACAGGAUUA